This is a long non-coding RNA of Gallus gallus (chicken), 592 nucleotides long. RefSeq lists it as uncharacterized. The transcript has 2 exons. NCBI's taxonomy places the organism in Eukaryota, Metazoa, Chordata, Aves, Galliformes, Phasianidae. The record is from RefSeq and is a predicted model, not a curated record.
GGGGAAGAGAGGAGUCGGUGAGAUCAGGAAGUAGAACAAAAAUACAGCAGAACUAAGACUACAAGGUGUCUAUCUGCAAGACCAACAUUUAACACCUACCUUAACCAUUUGGAUCUGAACCACUUUUUAAUAUUGUCCAAACUGACUGGUCCCCCCCAUAUGUUCCUCAGUUGGCUGUGUGUCCCAAGGUACGAGGUGGUUAAAGGGGAAACGUACAUUGGAUAUCCCAGUGGCUGAUCACAUGAAGAAUUAAUUAAGUUCCUCAAGACCUGUUUGUUGUUCUGGAUGCUCCCUCUCUCUGGGUUACGAUUGCGCAAGAAGAUUAAUUCCUGCUGCUGCCCAGCCCACAGUCCUCUGACACACUCCUUGUUGACCUACAGGUAGGUAAAAAAGCAGUGUGGGCCAUGUGAAAACAUUUCAGAUACAGAACUAUGUGACCUCUGUAGAACAGUAGUAGCAGUGUGCACGCAUGUCAUAUCUUUGUACCAACAGGUUUGAUAAACCUCAUGAGCAAUAACUCCCUGGAUAAGCCUGGGAUGUUAUUUGUGAUGAACAAAUAUAAGGGUGGAAAAUAAAAGUGAAAUGAACAGAA